RNAcentral lists this ribosomal RNA (406 nucleotides) under uncultured bacterium. Its description in RNAcentral is "partial 16S ribosomal RNA". It matches the Rfam family "Bacterial small subunit ribosomal RNA", at positions 30 to 526 of the family's 1533-position model. The record is from RNAcentral.
AUUGAACGCUGGCGGCAGGCCUAACACAUGCAAGUCGAACGAGUGGCGGACGGGUGAGUAAUGUCUGGGAAACUGCCUGAUGGAGGGGGAUAACUACUGGAAACGGUAGCUAAUACCGCAUACCAUCGGAUGUGCCCAAAUGGGAUUAGCUAGUAGGUGGGUUAAAGGCUCCCUUAGGCGACGAUCCCUAGCUGGUCUUAGAGGAUGACUAGCCACACUGAAAUGGAGAUACGGUCCAGACUCCUACGUGAGGCAGCAGUGGGGAAUAUUGAACAAUGGGCGCAAGCCUAAUGCAGCCAUGCCGCGUGUAUGAAGAAGGCCUUCGGGUUGUAAAGUACUUUCAGCGGAGAGGCGUUACCCGCAGAAGAAGCACCGGCUAACUCCGUGCCAGCAGCCGCGGUAAUUC